This is a long non-coding RNA of Coregonus clupeaformis (lake whitefish), 1345 nucleotides long. RefSeq lists it as uncharacterized. The record is from RefSeq and is a predicted model, not a curated record. The transcript is spliced from 3 exons. Lineage: Eukaryota; Metazoa; Chordata; Actinopteri; Salmoniformes; Salmonidae.
UACCAGUCCCGAAACAAAUUUACAAAUGACAGAUUCUUCACGGAAAGGGAAUGUACCACAUACCGGAAGUGACACGGAAGUGAUGAGCGUGGUCUUUUCGUGUUGUUGUUGUGGAGUUUAUGGCGUCAAAGAAGUUUAUGGUGACCGCCCGAACAUGGACUGCGGCCGAGGGAUGUUUUGCCCGUUUUGUGGCAAACACAUGAACAGCUUAACGCGGUUUUGCUUUACGUGUGGUCGGUGUUUGGAGUUUUUAAAGGACGCGGACAAGACGGAAACAUUGGAAACACAGGGGACGUCUCGACAGCCGGACAGUGCUAUGCAAAAUUCAGAGAUGGUCUUUCAACCCUGGAGUUUUUGACUGCACUACAGCAACACCCUACUUUGCUGGCCCCUGUCAUGUGCCACUCUGAAAGGCGACUCACUGCUUUUGAACUUGAGAGACUCUUCAAACCUGACCUCAGUCCUUCGGGGAGUAAUCGAAGACUUAAAGAAAGUCAAACCAUGGCCUACUGGGCAGACUAUCUCCUUGAUUGUGAAGAAGGCCAGGCUGCUGUGUCUGUGGAAGAUGUUUUGAUGUUUGCUACUGGGCUGUCUUCACUUCCCCCAUCUGGCUUGGAACCACUGCCACAAAUAGAGUUCCUGGAGGACUCUGCGUUCCCAAUGGCAAAUACAUUUGUUUAAGUCACAAAUGGACUUUGGAAUUCAAAAUAGUCCAGGAUUCGGCUGUUUCUAAGCUAUAUGAUGGAUGACCCCUAGAGUUAAGACUCUGAAAAAGUUGUUGUUGUUAAAGGUUAGGGUUGGGCAUCAUUUAGAUUUUAACGAUUCUGAUUCCAAUUCCGAUUCUUCCUUUUGAUUCCGGUUCUUAUCGAUUCUCGAUUCCGAUUCUUUGAGUGGUGGAGUUGAAACGGGUCACAUGCUUAUUUCACAAAUAAGAGGAACGUUUUAUUUUGAUUCAAAGGUGGGUUGCAGUUUGACGGGGCUUUUUCAAUGUAAAAUAAAGCCACACUAGAGCACCGCUUACUGUGCUCCAUGGCUGCAACACAACAAGCACCUGGCCGCUACAGAAACCAAAACUUGCGCAUGUUAAAUUUGGAACCCAAUCCUCCAAAACGAUUCCAAUAAAGAAACAAUUCCGAUGGAAUCGUAAUUUUUGUAACUAUUCCAAGUAGGAAUUGGUUCUUGAUGCCCAACCCUAUUAAAGGUGCACUUUUAAAGUGCAGUUGCCAAAGUUGUUUUUAUAAUGUUACUGUAUGUGAGCAUGUUCUUUUCUCACAGUAAACAUUUUGAAAAUGUUUUAGAUCCAUUACUCUCAAUACUACAAAAGUGUAAUAAAUACUGAUUACUA